AGAGUUUGAUCCUGGCUCAGAAUCAACGCUGGCGGCGUGCCUAACACAUGCAAGUCGCACGAGAAAGUGGAGCAAUCCAUGAGUAAAGUGGCGCACGGGUGAGUAACACGUGAAUGAUCUACCUCCGAGUGGGGAAUAACUGAGAGAAAUCUUAGCUAAUACCGCAUAAUACCCACGGGUCAAAGCAGCAAUGCGCUUGGAGAGGAGUUCGCGGCCGAUUAGCUAGUUGGCGGGGUAAUGGCCCACCAAGGCGAUGAUCGGUAUCCGGCCUGAGAGGGCGCACGGACACACUGGAACUGAAACACGGUCCAGACUCCUACGGGAGGCAGCAGUGGGGAAUUUUGCGCAAUGGGGGAAACCCUGACGCAGCAACGCCGCGUGGAGGAUGAAAUCCCUUGGGAUGUAAACUCCUUUCGAUAGGGAAGAUAAUGACGGUACCUAUAGAAGAAGCCCCGGCUAACUUCGUGCCAGCAGCCGCGGUAAUACGAGGGGGGCAAGCGUUGUUCGGAAUUAUUGGGCGUAAAGGGUGCGUAGGCGGUUUUGUAAGUCUGAUGUGAAAUCUAUGGGCUCAACUCAUAGACUGCAUCGGAAACUGCAGGGCUUGAGUGUGGGAGAGGUGAGUGGAAUUCCUGGUGUAGCGGUGAAAUGCGUAGAUAUCAGGAGGAACACCUGUGGCGAAAGCGGCUCACUGGACCACAACUGACGCUGAUGCACGAAAGCUAGGGGAGCAAACAGGAUUAGAUACCCUGGUAGUCCUAGCCCUAAACGAUGACUGCUUGGUGUGACGGGUACCCAAUCCCGCCGUGCCGUAGCUAACGCGUUAAGCAGUCCGCCUGGGGAGUACGGUCGCAAGGCUGAAACUCAAAGGAUUGACGG
RNAcentral lists this ribosomal RNA (876 nucleotides) under uncultured Acidobacteriaceae bacterium. RNAcentral describes it as "bacterial SSU rRNA". It matches the Rfam family "Bacterial small subunit ribosomal RNA", at positions 8 to 916 of the family's 1533-position model. The record is from RNAcentral. Lineage: Bacteria; Pseudomonadati; Acidobacteriota; Terriglobia; Terriglobales; Acidobacteriaceae.